GACGAACGCUGGCGGCGUGCCUAAUACAUGCAAGUCGAACGCAGUGGGGCCGGGUGAGUAACACGUGGGUAACCUCCCAUCAGAGGGGAUAACACUUGGAAACAGGUGCUAAACCGAUACUGAUGGAUGGACCCGCGGUGCAUUAGGUAGUUGGUGAGGUGACGGCUCACCAAGGCAACGAUGCAUAGGCGGCUUGAGAGUGUGAUCGGCCACAAUGGUACUGAGACACGGCCCAUACUCCUACGGGAGGCAGCAGUAGGUAAGCUUCGGCAAUGGACGAAAGGCUGACCGAGCAACGCCGCGUGAGUGAAGAAGGUUUUCGGAUCGUAAAACUCUGUUGUUAGAGAAGCGGUAUCUAACCAGAAAGCCACGUCUAACUACGUGCCAGCCGCCGCGGUAAUAC
This 403-nucleotide ribosomal RNA is filed under the name uncultured bacterium. RNAcentral's name for it is "partial 16S ribosomal RNA". It matches the Rfam family "Bacterial small subunit ribosomal RNA", at positions 28 to 526 of the family's 1533-position model. The record is from RNAcentral.